GAUGAACGCUGGCGGCGUGCCUAAUACAUGCAAGUCGAGCGAACAGAUAAGGAGCUUGCUCCUUUGACGUUAGCGGCGGACGGGUGAGUAACACGUGGGUAACCUACCUAUAAGACUGGAAUAACUCCGGGAAACCGGGGCUAAUGCCGGAUAACAUUUAGAACCGCAUGGUUCUAAAGUGAAAGAUGGUUUUGCUAUCACUUAUAGAUGGACCCGCGCCGUAUUAGCUAGUUGGUAAGGUAACGGCUUACCAAGGCAACGAUACGUAGCCGACCUGAGAGGGUGAUCGGCCACACUGGAACUAAGACACGGUCCAGACUCCUACGGGAGGCAGCAGUAGGGAAUCUUCCGCAAUGGGCGAAAGCCUGACGGAGCAACGCCGCGUGAGUGAUGAAGGUCUUCGGAUCGUAAAACUCUGUUAUUAGGGAAGAACAAAUGUGUAAGUAACUGUGCACGUCUUGACGGUACCUAAUCAGAAAGCCACGGCUAACUACGUG
This 497-nucleotide ribosomal RNA is filed under the name uncultured bacterium. RNAcentral describes it as "partial 16S ribosomal RNA". It matches the Rfam family "Bacterial small subunit ribosomal RNA", at positions 28 to 507 of the family's 1533-position model. The record is from RNAcentral.